RNAcentral lists this ribosomal RNA (274 nucleotides) under uncultured bacterium. RNAcentral describes it as "partial 16S ribosomal RNA". It matches the Rfam family "Bacterial small subunit ribosomal RNA", at positions 523 to 796 of the family's 1533-position model. The record is from RNAcentral.
AUACGUAGGUCCCGAACGUUGCGCGAAAUUACUGGGCGUAAAGGGUCCGUAGGCGGUCUGGUAAGUGGAAGGUGAAAGCCUGGGGCUCAACUCCAGAAUUGCCUUCCAAACUGCCGGACUUGAGGCAGGGAGAGGUCGGCGGAAUUCCCGGUGUAGCGGUGAAAUGCGUAGAUAUCGGGAUGAACACCAGUGGCGAAGGCGGCCGACUGGAACUGUCCUGACGCUGAGGGACGAAAGCCAGGGGAGCGAACCGGAUUAGAAACCCUAGUAGUCC